CGCAAAGAUAAUUGUCAGCCCUAAAAAUCUUCCAGAAAAUGUCUCACGGCAGGCUGCAGCGGAAACACCUCUGUGAACCUUCACCUCACCUGAACUUCUCAGCUGGGAACUGCCCAGCCAGUAAACUUUGUUUAGUCCUGCUGUGUCACACAUGCUGAUAUCAGGAACUGUUUGAGGACAUGUUCACAAGUAAGCAAUCAG
Molecule: long non-coding RNA, 201 nt
Organism: Micropterus dolomieu (smallmouth bass)
Lineage: Eukaryota; Metazoa; Chordata; Actinopteri; Centrarchiformes; Centrarchidae
Exons: 3
Source: RefSeq, a predicted model, not a curated record